Hydra vulgaris (swiftwater hydra) is the source of this 2981-nucleotide non-coding RNA. NCBI's taxonomy places the organism in Eukaryota, Metazoa, Cnidaria, Hydrozoa, Anthoathecata, Hydridae. The record is from RefSeq and is a predicted model, not a curated record.
GACGUCUUUAAGACCGUCUUACUUAGGUCAUUAAAUGGUCUUGUCAUAGAAAGACGUCUUCAAGACGUUUAAUAUCCAGCUUUUUAAAUCCUUUUUUUGGCGUCCAUCUAAAUUUUCUUAUAUACGUCUUAAAGACAUCUUUAAAAAGACAAGAAAAUAUUUGCUUGGUUUCGUAUGACGUCUUUAGUUCGUCAAUCUUUUACUUUCGGUAUAAUAUUUUAAAUAGCACUCUUUAAAACGUCUUAAAAACGUCUUCAGUAAGACUGCAUUGGCGUGAUAAUAUUUCGUGUCUCAUAAACUUAAUAAGCUUUUUUAUAAAGUUUAAAAGUUUUCUUUGACUUACAUUUGAUUUCUAAACUUCGACUUAUAUAUCUUUUUAAACAUUAUUCAUGGAAACUGAAAAUCGAAUGAAGCGUCGUCGCCUGAAUAAAUGUUAUGUUAGAUUUUAUAUGUAUGUUAGAUUUUAUAAUGACGCAAGAUGAAGUUAUCGAUAUUAGCACUAAUAUGAAUCGUGAACGUAAUUCUUCUUAUGAGCAUGAAACACCUUGUGAAGCCCCUGCUAAUAUUCAAGAAGAAAGUGGAGUAACAAAUUUAUCUUUGAGUUAUAAUUAUGAAAAUUUUGAAUGUUUUAAUGCACCAACACUAUUGAAAACAGAAACAUUAUCACAAGGUUUGGCAAAGUGGUCGUCAAAAAGUAACAUUUCUCAAAGUAAUUUAAAGGGACUUUUGAAUAUUCUCAGAAGGCAUGGUCAUUCAGAGUUGCCAAAAGAUGGAAGAUCUCUUUUAAAAUCCUCUAAAGUUUUUACAGGUGAUAGAAAGUGUGGCGGAACUUAUGCAUAUUUUACCAUUGCUGAUGGCUUAAAUUAUUUUUUGAAUACCAAAAAAGAUUCUCAAAAUACUGAAUUAUCUGUUGCUGUUAAUGUUAAUGGACUACCUCUUUUUAAAUCUUCUAAUCUUCAACUAUGGCCAAUACUUGGUUUAAUAGAGAACUAUAUUUUUAUAAAUGCACUUUUCUGUGGAAAUGGUAAACCAACCUGCUUAGAUAAUUUUCUCUGUGAUUUUAUCAAAGAAUUUUUAUUUUUAUCUAAUGAAGGUUUAUACUACGAUAAUAAAAAAAUUAAUGUUAAACAUAAAGCAUUCAUAUGUGAUGCACCUUCUCGUUGUUUUCUUAAAUGUAUACAAGGUCAUACAGGAUAUUACUCUUGUGAAAGGUGCCAAAUUCAAGGAUUAUAUGAGGAUCAUAGAGUGGUUUUUAUUGAUGAAAACCUAUCAACUCCAAGCUCAACUGAGGAGUUAAAUAACUUUUUGUACACUAUACAUCAGAAAUCUCUUUCUCCUUUAGCUUAACUUCAAAUAUCUUAUGUUUCUGAUUUUAUUUUAGACUAUAUGCACAUGGUUUGUCUUGGAGUAGUAAGACGCAUACUUACCUUUUUAAAGUCAGGUCCUAAACAUUGUAGACUUUCAAAUACCCAAAUAAAAAAAAUAUCUGCUAAUCUAUUAAGCUUACGUGGUAUGAUGCCAUCUGAAUUUGCUCGACAACCACGGUCUCUUUUUGAGUUAGAUCGUUGGAAAGCAACAGAGUUCAGGCAAUUUAUUUUAUACACUGGUCCCUUAGUUUUAAAGGGUGUUGUUAGCAAAGAAAUUUAUAACUACUUUCUAACAUUGCAUGUUGUGAUGGUGAUUCUCUUAAACAAAGAAAAUCAAGUUAAAAAUCAUUAUCUUGAAUUUGCUAAAAACUAAUAAAUUAUUUUGUUACUAAUUCGAAACAUUUAUAUACAAAAUCAUUCUGUGUUUAUAAUGUUCACUGUUUACUUCAUAUUUGUGAUGAUGUUGUUAGAUUUGAUUGUUCACUAAAUACAAUAUCUUGUUUUCCUUUUGAAAAUUAUAUGCAGACAUUGAAGAAAACAGUGAAAAAUUCAAAGAGUCUGGUUGUUCAAAUUACAAAACAGUAUCAAAAUUUACAAUAUUUAUUUAAUACAAAAUCUCAAAAACUAAAUAUUUGAGUGAAGCUGAAAAAUUCAUGCUUUUAUCUAGAAGAAAAUCAACUUUGUUUUAUUGAUAAGAAAUUAACAUCUGGAUUUUUUAAAUGUAGAGUAUUUAAACUUGAUUUACAAAGUGAUUUAUAUACACAACCGAUUCUGUCUAACCUUUAAAAUUUUCUUGAUACCAAAGAUUAAUGAAAUAAAAGUAAAAGUGGUUGUGUUAGGAGUUGAAAGUCUCUGCUGAAAGGUUGUUGCUCUACCCUGAAAAGAAGUUUUCAACCAUCAAUGAUGAAAUGGAUGCAGAUGAAACAUGGGACAAAUAUAAACUUAUCAAAAUCAAAUUUGAGAGUGAUAAUAUAAAUGAGCUAAAAGAAUAUGGUUACACAACAGCAGCAUAGGAGGAGGAUGAAAUAGAUAAUUGUUUUACAAGUUCCAAAGGCACAUUUAAAGUGAAAAGUAAUGUUUAUGUUACCAAAUUUUCCGUUGCCUCCAACAGUUUUGCAAUCCAUACCAACAAAAUCAUUGAAGAGAUCAUUUGAUUUUAAUUUGUCACCUGGAUCAAUUAUUUUAAAACAAUCAAAUAUUUGUUCUGCUUUGCCUGACUCUUUACCUUUACACACAGAGGAACAAUCAACUUCGAAUUCUGAGUCACUGUCUUUGCCUAACUUCUUUUUACCUUCAAAAUCAACUGAAAAGGAACAAUCAAGUUUUUUUACAAGUACACUGUCUUUGAUUAUUGUUUUACAUCUAAAAAAUGUUGUUUAAAAUUUUUUCUUUUAUUUAAUUUAUUUUUUGGCAUUAUGAGGUGAAACCCUCAUACUCAAGAGUUCAAAAAAAAAAGAAAACAAAAGAAGAAGUACAAAAAAACACUAUGAUUGAAGCCCUUGGACCAGAGAAGUUAGUUAAAAAUCAGUUUCCUAUGGAAGUUGGAAAAUACCAGCAUAUGAUGUUCAAAAUAGUAUCAAAAAUUCUUGAAAAUCAGGAGCUAAUUAUUGCUGU